Molecule: transfer RNA, 91 nt
Rfam family: tRNA
About the family: Transfer RNA (tRNA) molecules are approximately 80 nucleotides in length. Their secondary structure includes four short double-helical elements and three loops (D, anti-codon, and T loops).
GGAGUGGUGGCCGAACGGUAAGGCAUCGACCUGCUACGUCGACGAGUCGUGUCACAACGACGAGCGCGUUCGACUCGCGCCCACUCCGCCA